UGGAAACAGAUGCUAAUACCGCAUAAAUCCAAGAACCGCAUGGUUCUUGGCUGAAAGAUGGCGUAAGCUAUCGCUUUUGGAUGGACCCGCGGCGUAUUAGCUAGUUGGUGAGGUAACGGCUCACCAAGGCAAUGAUACGUAGCCGAACUGAGAGGUUGAUCGGCCACAUUGGGACUGAGACACGGCCCAAACUCCUACGGGAGGCAGCAGUAGGGAAUCUUCCACAAUGGACGCAAGUCUGAUGGAGCAACGCCGCGUGAGUGAAGAAAGGCUUUCGGGUCGUAAAACUCUGUUGUUGGAGAAGAAUGGUCGGCAGAGUAACUGUUGUCGGCGUGACGGUAUCCAACCAGAAAGCCACGGCUAACUACGUGCCAGCAGCCGCGGUAAUACGUAGGUGGCAAGCGUUAUCCGGAUUUAUUGGGCGUAAAGCGAGCGCAGGCGGUUUUUUAAGUCUGAUGUGAAAGCCCUCGGCUUAACCGAGGAAGUGCAUCGGAAACUGGGAAACUUGAGUGCAGAAGAGGACAGUGGAACUCCAUGUGUAGCGGUGAAAUGCGUAGAUAUAUGGAAGAACACCAGUGGCGAAGGCGGCUGUCUGGUCUGUAACUGACGCUGAGGCUCGAAAGCAUGGGUAGCGAACAGGAUUAGAUACCCUGGUAGUCCAUGCCGUAAACGAUGAAUGCUAGGUGUUGGAGGGUUUCCGCCCUUCAGUGCCGCAGCUAACGCAUUAAGCAUUCCGCCUGGGGAGUACGACCGCAAGGUUGAAACUCAAAGGAAUUGACGGGGGCCCGCACAAGCGGUGGAGCAUGUGGUUUAAUUCGAAGCAACGCGAAGAACCUUACCAGGUCUUGACAUCUUUUGAUCACCUGAGAGAUCAGGUUUCCCCUUCGGGGGCAAAAUGACAGGUGGUGCAUGGUUGUCGUCAGCUCGUGUCGUGAGAUGUUGGGUUAAGUCCCGCAACGAGCGCAACCCUUAUGACUAGUUGCCAGCAUUUAGUUGGGCACUCUAGUAAGACUGCCGGUGACAAACCGGAGGAAGGUGGGGAUGACGUCAAAUCAUCAUGCCCCUUAUGACCUGGGCUACACACGUGCUACAAUGGAUGGUACAACGAGUUGCGAGACCGCGAGGUCAAGCUAAUCUCUUAAAGCCAUUCUCAGUUCGGACUGUAGGCUGCAACUCGCCUACACGAAGUCGGAAUCGCUAGUAAUCGCGGAUCAGCACGCCGCGGUGAAUACGUUCCCGGGCCUUGUACACACCGCCCGUCACACCAUGAGAGUUUGUAACACCCGAAGCCGGUGGCGUAACCCUUUUAGGGAGCGAGCCGUCUAAGG
RNAcentral lists this ribosomal RNA (1328 nucleotides) under Lacticaseibacillus rhamnosus. Its description in RNAcentral is "bacterial SSU rRNA". It matches the Rfam family "Bacterial small subunit ribosomal RNA", at positions 151 to 1462 of the family's 1533-position model. The record is from RNAcentral. Lineage: Bacteria; Bacillati; Bacillota; Bacilli; Lactobacillales; Lactobacillaceae.